AGACUCAAUCCCUCGGGUUUCCGAGGAGAUUGGACUUGGGCGUUGCCGCUCUGCCGGCUCGCCUUAAAAGACUUAGCGGGAUAGCACCGUAGUCGGCGUAAUAAGUUUCGUCGGUGAAGGUUGUGAUAACUGCUCACAAUCGCCCUCUGGCAAUUUUUGA
This 160-nucleotide unclassified non-coding RNA is filed under the name uncultured Cryptococcus. Its description in RNAcentral is "sequence contains ITS2". Lineage: Eukaryota; Fungi; Basidiomycota; Tremellomycetes. The record is from RNAcentral.